CCUACGGGAGGCAGCAGUGAGGAAUCUUAGACAAUGGGCGCAAGCCUGAUCUAGCCAUGCCGCGUGAGUGAUGAAGGCCUUAGGGUCGUAAAGCUCUUUCGCCUGUGAAGAUAAUGACUGUAGCAGGUAAAGAAACCCCGGCUAACUCCGUGCCAGCAGCCGCGGUAAUACGGAGGGGGUUAGCGUUGUUCGGAAUUACUGGGCGUAAAGCGCGCGUAGGCGGACAUUUAAGUCAGAGGUGAAAUCCUACAGCUCAACUGUAGAACUGCCUUUGAUACUGAGAGGCUUGAGUUAUUGUGAAGUGGUUAGAAUGUGUGGUGUAGCGGUGAAAUGCUUAGAUAUCACACAGAAUACCCAUUGCGAAGGCAGAUCACUAACAAUAUACUGACGCUCAUGGACGAAAGCGUGGGGAGCGAACGGGAUUAGAUACCCCGGUAGUCCACGCCGUAAACGAUGAAUGCCAGUCGUCGGGCAGUAUACUGUUCGGUGACACACCUAACGGAUUAAGCAUUCCGCCUGGGGAGUACGGUCGCAAGAUUAAAACUCAAAGGAAUUGACGG
RNAcentral lists this ribosomal RNA (560 nucleotides) under uncultured bacterium. RNAcentral describes it as "bacterial SSU rRNA". It matches the Rfam family "Bacterial small subunit ribosomal RNA", at positions 338 to 916 of the family's 1533-position model. The record is from RNAcentral.